Long non-coding RNA from Xiphophorus couchianus (Monterrey platyfish), 428 nucleotides. RefSeq lists it as uncharacterized. The record is from RefSeq and is a predicted model, not a curated record. NCBI's taxonomy places the organism in Eukaryota, Metazoa, Chordata, Actinopteri, Cyprinodontiformes, Poeciliidae. The transcript is spliced from 2 exons.
UGUAACGGAUAGUAGACUAAAGUAAAUUAAGAAUUUUCUAAAUUAAGUAUGACGCAGAUUGUUUAUGGAUGUUUGUCUGUUUUGAUUAGCAUUUUUGUUGGGUUUUUUUUGUUUUGUUUUGUUUGAUGGUAUUUGUACUUUGUAAUGUUUUGGGGGGGGGUUUGUUGUACCUCUUGGGCUGCCGUAACUAAUGAGGCCAGGCCCUUUAAAAGCUGGUAGAAUCGUCGUGUCAAUCAAUGACUUGAACUGUCAAGCUGAGUAGCAUGAAUAAAUCAACACUUAGUGUUCCCCAGUGAAAGCAGUGAGUUUUCACGGUGACUAAGGUGACUGUGGUGACUGUGGUGAUUCUGAAUCACCCGAAGAAAAUAAAAACACUAAAUUCACCCGUCGAGACUGGCUGGUUAAUUCAACUGCUGGGGAGCUGCUAC